GCGCGUGUAGCUCAGCGGAAGAGCACCCCGCCGACACCGGGGAGGUUCCCAGGUUCGAUCCGUGGCAUGCGCA
Molecule: transfer RNA, 73 nt
Filed under: Amycolatopsis sp. DG1A-15b
Lineage: Bacteria; Bacillati; Actinomycetota; Actinomycetes; Pseudonocardiales; Pseudonocardiaceae
Description: tRNA-Val
Rfam family: tRNA
About the family: Transfer RNA (tRNA) molecules are approximately 80 nucleotides in length. Their secondary structure includes four short double-helical elements and three loops (D, anti-codon, and T loops).
Source: RNAcentral